RNAcentral lists this transfer RNA (540 nucleotides) under uncultured cyanobacterium. Its description in RNAcentral is "partial 16S-23S ribosomal RNA intergenic spacer". The stretch from base 212 to 284 matches the Rfam family "tRNA". Lineage: Bacteria; Bacillati; Cyanobacteriota. The record is from RNAcentral.
CAGGGAGACAACAAAAUGUUAAAUAUUAAUUUUGUCACCUUAGGUCGAUCGGUAUCUCACAUUCUUAAAUUUAUUAAGGAUUUUAUUUCCUAAGUUUUUUCUAGGUCACACCCAUUACUUUCCCUGGGCCAUUAGCUCAGGUGGUUAGAGCGCACCCCUGAUAAGGGUGAGGUCCCUGGUUCAAGUCCAGGAUGGCCCAUAUCUCUAUGUUGGGGGUAUAGCUCAGUUGGUAGAGCGCCUGCUUUGCAAGCAGGAUGUCAGCGGUUCGAGUCCGCUUACCUCCACUGAUUACCACCUCUUCCAUAAUUUCUGAGGGAAAUGUUAUGAGUUGUGAUCAAAUUCUGAACGAAUCUAGCUUCCUAAUCAAAGCGAUUAAGAUGCUGGACUCAUUGAAUUAAUUUCAUUGUUUUCAGAGAACCUUGACAACUGCAUAGAUUAUUUUUAAAGACAAUAAGCAUCUUUAAUGAUGCAGAUUUAUUAUUUGUGCAAAUGCAUUAAUAACAAUUCUAUUAAGCUGAUGCUUCAAUAUUUGAAGUUAUU